This is a small nucleolar RNA of Ictalurus punctatus (channel catfish), 123 nucleotides long. Its record names the gene SNORD22. It matches the Rfam family "Small nucleolar RNA SNORD22". Rfam says of the family: U22 is a member of the C/D class of snoRNA which contain the C (UGAUGA) and D (CUGA) box motifs. U22 is encoded within the U22 snoRNA host gene (UHG) in mammals and has also been identified in Xenopus. U22 is thought to as a 2'-O-ribose methylation guide for ribosomal RNA. Lineage: Eukaryota; Metazoa; Chordata; Actinopteri; Siluriformes; Ictaluridae. The record is from Ensembl.
CCUUUAUGAUGAAACUUGCACAUGUCUUACGCACUGUCAACACCAGAACCUGAAAAGGUGAACCCACUGGUGUUGCCAGAGCAACAAGGGGAUAAUUUGUUGGUUACCAACUGUCUGAUGGCC